Molecule: long non-coding RNA, 402 nt
Organism: Solanum tuberosum (potato)
Lineage: Eukaryota; Viridiplantae; Streptophyta; Magnoliopsida; Solanales; Solanaceae
Exons: 3
Source: RefSeq, a predicted model, not a curated record
UGUUUUUUACCGCUCCUCUUUCCCUUCGGAUUACCUAUUUUUCUCAGACUCGAAAAAGAUAAUCUUUUCAAUGUCAUCACCGUCAAUUUCUUACUAAAUUAGUGGAGCUUGUUAAUGCUGCAAUUUCAGCUUCAUUGAUAUUUCCUGAAUCUUCAUCAAGCUGGCAUAUCUAGAGACCAGAGUACAUACCACUAGAGGCCUAGACGUUGUAUGCUCGCUGGCAAAACAUCAAGAGACGACUAUUCUUCACCAGAUUGGUCCCCAUGUAAGGCAUAUUUCUGUUGUCAGCAAUUUGCAGAAGCAAAUAACUUGUGAUGCGAUAUAGUUCAGACAGAGUAGUACGGAGCAAUUAUUGAAGAAAUAUUUGAUCAACUGGCGUUAGAGUUUCAGUCAAUCAAGUUU